CAGACCCACCACUCUGAAUGUAUCGCACACUAAGAAUUUAGAUGCUCGGCGUUGAGGCCGUAGCGUUGUUCUUUAAUAAUUUGUGAUGUAGCGAGCGUUUGAGAACAAACUUCUCGACGUGUCGUUGUGGCUAAGGCGGGGACCUCGAGUCCCUAGAAAUUGAGUCGUUAUAGUUCGCGUCCAGGCUUUGUACCCCUGGACUGAAUAUGACCUUGAGGCAACUUGAGGUUAUAUGGUCAAGCGAAUAAGCGCACACGGUGGAUGCCUUGGCGGUCAGAGGCGAUGAAGGACGUGGCAGCCUGCGAAAAGUGUCGGGGAGCUGGCAACAAGCUUUGAUCCGGCAAUGUCCGAAUGGGGAAACCCACUGCUUCGGCAGUAUCCUGCAGUGAAUACAUAGCUGCUGGAAGCGAACCCGGUGAACUGAAAUAUCUAAGUAACCGGAGGAAAAGAAAUCAACCGAGAUUCCCUAAGUAGUGACGAGCGAACGGGGACUAGCCCUUAAGCUGGUAUGGUUUUAGAAAAACAACCUGGAAAGGUUGGCCAUAGAAGGUGAUAGCCCUGUAUUUGAAAGGGCCAUACCAGUGAAGACGAGUAGGGCGGGGCACGUGAAACCCUGUCUGAACAUGGGGGGACCAUCCUCCAAGGCUAAAUACUCCUGACCGACCGAUAGUGAACCAGUACC
RNAcentral lists this small RNA (682 nucleotides) under Xanthomonas sacchari. RNAcentral describes it as "bacterial LSU rRNA". The stretch from base 235 to 682 matches the Rfam family "Bacterial large subunit ribosomal RNA", at positions 1 to 502 of the family's 2925-position model. Lineage: Bacteria; Pseudomonadati; Pseudomonadota; Gammaproteobacteria; Lysobacterales; Lysobacteraceae. The record is from RNAcentral.